Molecule: ribosomal RNA, 457 nt
Filed under: uncultured bacterium
Lineage: Bacteria
Description: bacterial SSU rRNA
Rfam family: Bacterial small subunit ribosomal RNA
Source: RNAcentral
GAGCUUGACAUCCCACGAACCUGUGGAAACACGGGAGUGCCUUCGGGAGCGGAGAGACAGGUGGUGCAUGGUUGUCGUCAGCUCGUGUCGUGAGAUGUUGGGUUAAGUCCCGCAACGAGCGCAACCCUUAUGAUCAGUUACCAGCGGGUGAAGCCGGGGACUCUGGUCAGACUGCCGGUGACAAACCGGAGGAAGGUGGGGAUGACGUCAAGUCAGCAUGGCCUUGAUGUCUGGGGCCACACACGUGCUACAAUGGCCGGUACAAACCGUGGCGAGCCCGCGAGGGGGAGCUAAUCGGGAAAAGCCGGUCUCAGUUCGGAUCGCAGGCUGCAACUCGCCUGCGUGAAGGUGGAAUCGCUAGUAAUCGCAGAUCAGCACGCUGCGGUGAAUACGUUCCCGGGCCUUGUACACACCGCCCGUCACAUCACGAAAGCUGGCUGUACUCGAAGUCGCUGAG